GACAGCAGUAGCCGCGGGAAUACGAAGGGGGCUAGCGUUGUUCGGAUUUACCGGGCGUAAAGGGCGCGUAGGCGGACUGAUAAGUCAGGGGUGAAAUCCCAAGGCUCAACCUUGGAACUGCCUUUGAUACUGUUUGUCUUGAGUUCGAGAGAGGUAAGUGGAACUGCGAGUGUAGAGGUGAAAUUCGUAGAUAUUCGCAAGAACACCAGUGGCGAAGGCGGCUUACUGGCUCGAAACUGACGCUGAGGCGCGAAAGCGUGGGGAGCAAACAGGAUUAGAUACCCCCGUAGUCCCUGUCUCUUAUAC
RNAcentral lists this ribosomal RNA (306 nucleotides) under uncultured bacterium. Its description in RNAcentral is "partial 16S ribosomal RNA". It matches the Rfam family "Bacterial small subunit ribosomal RNA", at positions 507 to 807 of the family's 1533-position model. The record is from RNAcentral.